Arachis ipaensis is the source of this 664-nucleotide non-coding RNA. NCBI's taxonomy places the organism in Eukaryota, Viridiplantae, Streptophyta, Magnoliopsida, Fabales, Fabaceae. The record is from RefSeq and is a predicted model, not a curated record.
UUGUUGUUGACAAGUAUGGAGCUUUCAGGAUCUUUAUCUCCUUUUGUUGCCAAUAUGACAGCUCUGACUAAUAUCUGGCUAGGGAAUAACAGUUUGUCAGAGCACAUUUCUGACCUAGGUUCACUAACACUGUUAGAAAUAUUGCACUUGGAAGACAAUCAAUUCGACGGAGAGAUUCCUUCAUCCCUAGGGAACAUAAGCACUUUGCAUAAAGUGUAAACUCUGUCCUCUUUAUACAAGAGAAUUAAACUGGUUUUUUGUGGUGUUUCUUGAAUCCUGAGUAGAUAUUUAAGUCAGCCCUGUACAACUACGUUGUUUACAUGAGUGUGGCCCAAAAAUAGUACAAUUUAUUUGAAUUCCUUUUGCCGAUAAAUUAAUUGGAUCAAGACUUUGUUACCUAAUGUGUAUUUGUGUUUGUCGAUUUCAAUUUUAUGACUUUGUGACAUAGCUUGGCAGUAUUUUUUUUGAAUUGAUUGAAAAACCGAACAAACCGAACCAAACCAAACCGAUUUUAAUUGGUUUGGUUUGGUUCAGAUGGUCUUGAGAAAAAAACCGAACAAAACUGAACCGCAGUUUAAUUAAACGAUUGGAUCGGAUGGCUUUUCUCUCAAAAACCAAACCAAACCGCACCGCGAACACCCCUAUUGGAAAGGGUCAAAGAGCU